AUUGAACGCUGGCGGCAGGCCUAACACAUGCAAGUCGAGCGGAUGAAGGGAGCUUGCUCCUGGAUUCAGCGGCGGACGGGUGAGUAAUGCCUAGGAAUCUGCCUGGUAGUGGGGGAUAACGUCCGGAAACGGGCGCUAAUACCGCAUACGUCCUGUGGGAGAAAGUGGGGGAUCUUCGGACCUCACGCUAUCAGAUGAGCCUAGGUCGGAUUAGCUAGUUGGUGGGGUAAAGGCCUACCAAGGCGACGAUCCGUAACUGGUCUGAGAGGAUGAUCAGUCACACUGGAACUGAGACACGGUCCAGACUCCUACGGGAGGCAGCAGUGGGGAAUAUUGGACGAUGGGCGAAAGCCUGAUCCAGCCAUGCCGCGUGUGUGAAGAAGGUCUUCGGAUUGUAAAGCACUUUAAGUUGGGAGGAAGGGCAGUAAGUUAAUACCUUGCUGUUUUGACGUUACCAACAGAAUAAGCACCGGCUAACUUCGUG
Molecule: ribosomal RNA, 484 nt
Filed under: uncultured bacterium
Lineage: Bacteria
Description: partial 16S ribosomal RNA
Rfam family: Bacterial small subunit ribosomal RNA
Source: RNAcentral